AUGAAAGCCAUUCUCGUCUUCGCUCUCAUUGCCAUUUCGAUAAUUUCUGUGAACGCCGGUAUGAUGACUGGAGGAUCUGUUGAACAAGAUGCAUCUCAAAAGGAGUAUUCUGACAAAGCCUGGAAGGCUGUGAAAGGCAUCAACGAUCAGGCAUCCAACAACGGACCUUACUACUACGCCCCGAUUAAGGUUUGUGAUCCUUAUGAAAGAGGCGCGGAAGACAGAACAGCUCUUGCCAAUUUUAAGUGAACGAAACAUUUUUUUUUAGUUGUUAAAUAUUCUUCCUCGUCUGAAAUUAAUGGAAGAGCGAAAAAAAAAACGAUUAAAAACUACUCUUUGAAAUUUUUCGCGUGAGCUGACUGAUAUGUGACGAUCUUAUUUUAUUUAUCAAUCAACUUUAUUGACAGCUUGGCUUUAUACAAAAAUUACUGUCCGUUGGUGGUUGUUGUGGUUGGAGCGGCAGUAGUGCUCGCAACGUCGUGAUUAUUGAGCACAAUGAUAAGGAUUGAGCCUGCAAGCAGCGCUCCCCAAAUUCCCCAGAACAUCGCAAUUGCAGUGUAUCUGAAAAUAGAGAUUUAUUGAUUUAAAAGAAAUAGAUUUUAUCGAAAUUACUCACCUGGCAACUCUCCAUUUCGGUUCCUCCCUUUUAGCAUUGAGCUCAUCAAGACUGUACCCGAUUUGUGGAACCUCGGCAACCUGAAUAUCAACUUUAAAUUGCUUUCAACCCCACCUUGAACCUACUUUUCGUUGUUUGACGCAAUCACAGCUACAAUAUGAAUACUCACUGCUACAGCAGGAAUCUGUCACAGAGUCGGUUCUCAUUCUUUGAAAAAAUAAAAUCGAGAAAUGAAAGUUGGAAAAGAGAAAAUGAUUAAAAUUGUGAUAGAGCGUGCGAUCGAUACUAAACUAGAUAAGACGAAAAGCAAAUAUUUAAAACAAAACCAUAACAUGGGAAAUGUUUUUGAUCGAAAAGUGAAUGCGACAAGAACGGCUAGACGGGAUUAUUUGGCUGCCAGUGAGAGAGAGAGUUGCGGGGGAAUACAUGAUUUCCGUAUUUUAAAAUUGAUUUUUUCAGGUCACAAAGGCCUCAACCCAAGUUGUCGCUGGAAUCAGCACCAAGCUCGAGGUGCUCGUCGGUGAAUCGAACUGCAAGAAGGGAGAGUUGCAGGCUCACGAGAUCACUUCUUCCAACUGCCAAAUCAAGGAUGGUGGAAGCCGUGCUCUGUACCAAGUCACCAUCUGGGAGAAGCCAUGGGAGAACUUCGAGCAAUUCACUGUGGAGAAGAUCCGCGAUGUUACCGCUGACGAGCAGUUCUAA
This is an RNA transcript of Caenorhabditis elegans, 1318 nucleotides long. It is a transcript of the gene named Non-coding transcript of protein-coding gene cpi-2, with no coding region annotated. Lineage: Eukaryota; Metazoa; Nematoda; Chromadorea; Rhabditida; Rhabditidae. The record is from RefSeq and is marked reviewed. The transcript has 2 exons.